This 253-nucleotide ribosomal RNA is filed under the name uncultured bacterium. Its description in RNAcentral is "partial 16S ribosomal RNA". It matches the Rfam family "Bacterial small subunit ribosomal RNA", at positions 524 to 776 of the family's 1533-position model. The record is from RNAcentral.
UACGUAGGGUGCAAGCGUUGUCCGGAAUUAUUGGGCGUAAAGGGCUCGUAGGCGGUUUGUCGCGUCGGGAGUGAAAACUCAGGGCUUAACCCUGAGCCUGCUUCCGAUACGGGCAGACUAGAGGUAUGCAGGGGAGAAUGGAAUUCCUGGUGUAGCGGUGAAAUGCGCAGAUAUCGGGAGGAACACCUGUGGCGAAAGCGGCUCUCUGGACCACAACUGACGCUGAGGCGCGAAAGCUAGGGGAGCAAACAGG